GAUGAACGCUGGCGGCGUGCCUAGUACAUGCAAGUCGAGCGAAUGGAUUAAGAGCUUGCUCUUAUGAAGUUAGCGGCGGACGGGUGAGUAACACGUGGGUAACCUGCCCAUAAGACUGGGAUAACUCCGGGAAACCGGGGCUAAUACCGGAUAACAUUUUGAACCGCAUGGUUCGAAAUUGAAAGGCGGCUUCGGCUGUCACUUAUGGAUGGACCCGCGUCGCAUUAGCUAGUUGGUGAGGUAACGGCUCACCAAGGCAACGAUGCGUAGCCGACCUGAGAGGGUGAUCGGGCACACUGGGACUGAGACACGGCCCAGACUCCUACGGGAGGCAGCAGUAGGGAAUCUUCCGCAAUGGACGAAAGUCUGACGGAGCAACGCCGCGUGAGUGAUGAAGGCUUUCGGGUCGUAAAACUCUGUUGUUAGGGAAGAACGAGUGCUAGUUGAAUAAGCUGGCACCUUGACGGUACCUAACCAGAAAGCCACGGCUAACUACGUGCCAGCCGCCGCUGUAA
RNAcentral lists this ribosomal RNA (515 nucleotides) under uncultured bacterium. RNAcentral describes it as "partial 16S ribosomal RNA". It matches the Rfam family "Bacterial small subunit ribosomal RNA", at positions 28 to 523 of the family's 1533-position model. The record is from RNAcentral.